GCUACCAGCCAUGCUACCCUGAACACGCCCGAUCCCGUCUGAUGUCAGAAGCUAAGCAGGGUCAGGCCUGGUUAGUACUUGGAUGGGAGACCACCUAGGAAGACCGGGUGCUGUGAGCG
This 119-nucleotide ribosomal RNA is filed under the name Pteropus alecto (black flying fox). Lineage: Eukaryota; Metazoa; Chordata; Mammalia; Chiroptera; Pteropodidae. The record is from RNAcentral.